This is a long non-coding RNA of Perca fluviatilis (European perch), 211 nucleotides long. RefSeq lists it as uncharacterized. Lineage: Eukaryota; Metazoa; Chordata; Actinopteri; Perciformes; Percidae. The transcript has 3 exons. The record is from RefSeq and is a predicted model, not a curated record.
CUGGGACAAUGUGGCUGUGUUAGUUGAUGAAACACUUAUACCACAAGAGCUGUGUAGCCCGAUCCUACAGACCCCAACACACCAGAACAUAAAACAAAAGGUCCUUCUAAUAAGGAAUAAGAACGUUGGAAACAGACAAUCCGUUCCUGAACAAAGGAUCCGUAAGGGUGAUGGCUACUCGAUAGCACAUAGGGCUGAAAUCAACCAUGAU